CCUACGGGAGGCAGCAGUGGGGAAUCUUGCACAAUGGGCGAAAGCCUGAUGCAGCGACGCCGCGUGCGGGAUGAAGGCCUUCGGGUUGUAAACCGCUUUCAGCAGGGACGAGGCCGCAAGGUGACGGUACCUGCAGAAGAAGCCCCGGCUAACUACGUGCCAGCAGCCGCGGUAAU
RNAcentral lists this ribosomal RNA (176 nucleotides) under uncultured bacterium. RNAcentral describes it as "partial 16S ribosomal RNA". It matches the Rfam family "Bacterial small subunit ribosomal RNA", at positions 338 to 524 of the family's 1533-position model. The record is from RNAcentral.